RNAcentral lists this ribosomal RNA (406 nucleotides) under uncultured bacterium. RNAcentral's name for it is "partial 16S ribosomal RNA". It matches the Rfam family "Bacterial small subunit ribosomal RNA", at positions 28 to 526 of the family's 1533-position model. The record is from RNAcentral.
GACGAACGCUGGCGGCGUGCCUAAUACAUGCAAGUAGAACGAGUUGCGAACGGGUGAGUAACGCGUGGUAACCUGCCUCAUAGAGGGGGAUAACUAUUGGAAACGAUAGCUAAUACCGCAUACCAUCAGAUGUGCCCAGAUGGGAUUAGCUAGUAGGUGGGGUAACGGCUGACCUAGGCGACGAUCCCUGGCUGGUCUGAGAGGAUGACCAGCCACACUGGAACUGAGACCCGGUCCAGACUCCUACGUGAGGCAGCAGUGGGGAAUAUUGCACAAUUGGCGCAAGCCUGAUGCAGCCAUGCCGCGUGUAUGAAGAAGGCCUUCGGGUUGUAAAGUACUUUCAGCGGGGAGGCGUUACCCGCAGAAGAAGCACCGGCUAACUCCGUGCCAGCAGCCGCGGUAAUAC